RNAcentral lists this signal recognition particle RNA (303 nucleotides) under Glycine max (soybean). RNAcentral's name for it is "SRP RNA Plant_SRP". It matches the Rfam family "Plant signal recognition particle RNA". Lineage: Eukaryota; Viridiplantae; Streptophyta; Magnoliopsida; Fabales; Fabaceae. The record is from Rfam by way of RNAcentral.
GUCGAGUUGAGUAACAUCAGCUUGUGACCCAAGUGGGGACACCGAGGUAUUGGGACAAGUCUCUGGCUUAGCCAGGUUGGGUUGGUGGCUGCACCAUGCUGCCUGCCCGCUCCAAGUUCAGAGUUGAACUAUGAGAACUGAGUGAAGACACAGGUCUCCUCCUUCCUAGACAAGGGGAUACUGCGUGAGGCUGGCUUCACAGAGCAGCGAUCACCCCUGGCUCUUCACAGUGGAGGGAUUACAGGCUGCCUGCACUGUCAGCCCAUAUAACCUGAUGAGCCUUGCUCUUGAACCUUUACUUUU